CAGUCGCCGCGGGAAUACGAAGGGUGCAAGCGUUAAUCGGAAUUACUGGGCGUAAAGCGUGCGUAGGCGGUGAGUUAAGUCUGCUGUGAAAUCCCCGGGCUCAACCUGGGAAUGGCAGUGGAUACUGGCUCGCUAGAGUGUGUCAGAGGAUGGUGGAAUUCCCGGUGCAGCGGUGAAAUGCGUAGAGAUCGGGAGGAACAUCAGUGGCGAAGGCGGCCAUCUGGGACAACACUGACGCUGAGGCACGAAAGCGUGGGGAGCAAACAGGAUUAGAUACCGCGUAGUCCCUGUCUCUUAUACA
This 301-nucleotide ribosomal RNA is filed under the name uncultured bacterium. RNAcentral's name for it is "partial 16S ribosomal RNA". It matches the Rfam family "Bacterial small subunit ribosomal RNA", at positions 509 to 808 of the family's 1533-position model. The record is from RNAcentral.